GAUGAACGCUGGCGGCGUGCCUAACACAUGCAAGUCGAACGUGACUGAUUGAAAGAUCUUUUCGGAGUGAUUUCUUUUAGUUUAGUGGCGGACGGGUGAGUAACGCGUGGAUAACCUGCCUUUCACAGGGGGAUAGCAGCUGGAAACGGCUGGUAAUACCGCAUACGCUCAGAGGACCGCAUGGUCUUCUGAGGAAAGAUUUAUCGGUGAGAGAUGGAUCCGCGUCUGAUUAGCCAGUUGGCGGGGUAACGGCCCACCAAAGCGACGAUCAGUAGCCGGCCUGAGAGGGCGGACGGCCACAUUGGGACUGAGACACGGCCCAAACUCC
RNAcentral lists this ribosomal RNA (328 nucleotides) under uncultured Butyrivibrio sp. RNAcentral describes it as "bacterial SSU rRNA". It matches the Rfam family "Bacterial small subunit ribosomal RNA", at positions 28 to 339 of the family's 1533-position model. The record is from RNAcentral. Lineage: Bacteria; Bacillati; Bacillota; Clostridia; Lachnospirales; Lachnospiraceae.